GGGCCCUUAGCUCAGUUGGUCAGAGCGGUCGGCUCAUAACCGAUUGGUCGUAGGUUCGAGUCCUACAGGGCCCA
Transfer RNA from Brevibacillus panacihumi W25, 74 nucleotides. It matches the Rfam family "tRNA". From Rfam's summary of the family: Transfer RNA (tRNA) molecules are approximately 80 nucleotides in length. Their secondary structure includes four short double-helical elements and three loops (D, anti-codon, and T loops). Further hydrogen bonds mediate the characteristic L-shaped molecular structure. tRNAs have two regions of fundamental functional importance: the anti-codon, which is responsible for specific mRNA codon recognition, and the 3' end, to which the tRNAs corresponding amino acid is attached (by aminoacyl-tRNA synthetases). tRNAs cope with the degeneracy of the genetic code in two manners: having more than one tRNA (with a specific anti-codon) for a particular amino acid; and 'wobble' base-pairing, i.e. permitting non-standard base-pairing at the 3rd anti-codon position. The record is from Rfam. NCBI's taxonomy places the organism in Bacteria, Bacillati, Bacillota, Bacilli, Caryophanales, Paenibacillaceae.